GAUGAAGAACGCAGCGAAAUGCGAUAAGUAAUGUGAAUUGCAGAAUUCAGUGAAUCAUCGAAUCUUUGAACGCACAUUGCGCCCCCUGGUAUUCCGGGGGGCAUGCCUGUCCGAGCGUCAUUACAACCCUCAAGCUCAGCUUGGUGUUGGGCCCCGCCGCCCCGGCGGGCCCUAAAGUCAGUGGCGGUGCCGUCCGGCUCCGAGCGUAGUAAUUCUUCUCGCUCCAGUGCCCGGUGGUAGCCUGCCAGAACCCCAACUCUCGUGGUUGACCUCGGAUCAGGUAGGGAUACCCGCUGAACUUAAGCAUAUCAAUAAGCGGAGGA
RNAcentral lists this unclassified non-coding RNA (323 nucleotides) under soil metagenome. RNAcentral's name for it is "partial contains 5.8S ribosomal RNA, internal transcribed spacer 2, and large subunit ribosomal RNA". The stretch from base 1 to 120 matches the Rfam family "5.8S ribosomal RNA", at positions 35 to 154 of the family's 154-position model. The record is from RNAcentral.